CCUACGGGGGGCAGCAGUAGGGAAUCUUCCACAAUGGGCGAAAGCCUGAUGGAGCAACGCCGCGUGGGUGAAGAAGGUCUUCGGAUCGUAAAACCCUGUUGUUAGAGAAGAAAGUGCGUGAGAGUAACUGUUCACGUUUCGACGGUAUCUAACCAGAAAGCCACGGCUAACUACGUGCCAGCAGCCGCGGUAAUACGUAGGUGGCAAGCGUUAUCCGGAUUUAUUGGGCGUAAAGGGAACGCAGGCGGUCUUUUAAGUCUGAUGUGAAAGCCUUCGGCUUAACCGGAGUAGUGCAUUGGAAACUGGGAGACUGGAGUGCAGAAGAGGUGAGUGGAACUCCAUGUGUAGCGGUGAAAUGCGUAGAUAUAUGGAAGAACACCAGUGGCGAAAGCGGCUCUCUGGUCUGUAACUGACGCUGAGGUUCGAAAGCGUGGGUAGCAAACAGGAUUAGAUACCCCUGUAGUC
This 465-nucleotide ribosomal RNA is filed under the name uncultured bacterium. RNAcentral's name for it is "partial 16S ribosomal RNA". It matches the Rfam family "Bacterial small subunit ribosomal RNA", at positions 338 to 795 of the family's 1533-position model. The record is from RNAcentral.